UGGAUUAUAAAGUAGCGUAUAUAAUGCAUAUAGGUUUCAGAAUCAGAGACAUCAAGCUUUAAAUCGUGGCCUUCUACAGAGACUCCUGAACCUCAGUUUCUUCAUCUGUAUAAUUGGAAUGCUAGUGCCUGCCUUGAAGGGUUGCUGUGAGAUUUACACGAGAGGAUGUACAGAGAAACAACCAGAAGAGAGAUGGAGAGAACUCUCCUUGGAUC
Molecule: long non-coding RNA, 215 nt
Filed under: Homo sapiens (human)
Lineage: Eukaryota; Metazoa; Chordata; Mammalia; Primates; Hominidae
Description: HSALNT0368480
Source: RNAcentral